Molecule: non-coding RNA, 30 nt
Filed under: Rattus norvegicus (Norway rat)
Lineage: Eukaryota; Metazoa; Chordata; Mammalia; Rodentia; Muridae
Source: RNAcentral
UGAAAGCAUACGAACAGUGGUAUAAACUGC